AGCUAGAAUACUAUCGAUAGCAAACGGGCUCCGUUGCCACCCAUUUGUUCGAUGAUAGUCUCCAAAUCGACGAUCGGCACCGUUGAACAUGAUCUAUACCACUUGAAGUGUUUAGAAAUCAAAUUUCAAAUCUUUUCGACAUCAUUUGCCUAAUGAUCAAAGGGUUUCAACAUUUGUAAUUUUAAUGGUCGAUAUGAGGCGUUUUCUCAUUUAACGGCGUAAAGAUAUCGAAAUCAAUUGAAUUUUUGUUAGAAAAUUCUUUAAACUAUUUAAAACAACAUCUAUACUCUUGAUCUUGAUUACAAGACUCAUAUAAUCAUUUCUUAAAGAAUAUUCAUUUUUGGCCAUUCAUUUUU
RNAcentral lists this long non-coding RNA (356 nucleotides) under Ananas comosus (pineapple). Its description in RNAcentral is "long non-coding RNA (ACOM_LNC022791)". The record is from RNAcentral. Lineage: Eukaryota; Viridiplantae; Streptophyta; Magnoliopsida; Poales; Bromeliaceae.